RNAcentral lists this unclassified non-coding RNA (299 nucleotides) under plant metagenome. Its description in RNAcentral is "partial contains small subunit ribosomal RNA, internal transcribed spacer 1, and 5.8S ribosomal RNA". The record is from RNAcentral.
UUUCCGUAGGUGAACCUGCGGAAGGAUCAUUAUCGAAUUUCGAGGGGAAGGAAGAUGAGGAGUGGAGACUGUCGCUGGCUUUCCCGCCUGGGAAGCAUGUGCACGCCUUGCUUUUCGUUGACCUUUCUCUUACUCUCACACCUGUGCACCCAUUGUAGGUCCUCGAAAGAGGAUCUAUGUUUUUAACAUCACACGCAUCGUAUGUCCAUAGAAUGUAACAUGAUCGUCGAUCGACCUCGCGGUCGGGUGGCGGUCUAAAUAAAUAAAUACAACUUUCAGCAACGGAUCUCUUGGCUCUC